RNAcentral lists this transfer RNA (73 nucleotides) under Spirochaetota bacterium. RNAcentral's name for it is "Spirochaetes bacterium (wastewater metagenome) tRNA-Phe". It matches the Rfam family "tRNA". Rfam says of the family: Transfer RNA (tRNA) molecules are approximately 80 nucleotides in length. Lineage: Bacteria; Pseudomonadati; Spirochaetota. The record is from RNAcentral.
GGUCAGGUAGCUCAGUCGGUAGAGCAGGGGACUGAAAAUCCCCGUGUCGAUGGUUCGAUUCCGUCCCUGACCA